Molecule: ribosomal RNA, 216 nt
Filed under: Glomeromycotina sp.
Lineage: Eukaryota; Fungi; Glomeromycota
Description: partial small subunit ribosomal RNA
Rfam family: Eukaryotic small subunit ribosomal RNA (bases 40-216)
Source: RNAcentral
GGGUCAGUAGGUUGGUCGUGCCACCGGUACGUACUGGUCUCAAUGAUUCCUCCUUCCUGAAGAACCGUAAUGCCAUUAAUUUGGUGUUGCGGGGAAACAGGACUGUUACUUUGAAAAAAUUAGAGUGUUUAAAGCAAGCUAACGAUUGAAUACAUUAGCAUGGAAUAAUGAAAUAGGACGAUCGAUCCUAUUUUGUUGGUUUCUAGGAUUGACGUA